RNAcentral lists this unclassified non-coding RNA (643 nucleotides) under Bombus terrestris (buff-tailed bumblebee). RNAcentral's name for it is "misc RNA ENSBTSG00005022197.1". Lineage: Eukaryota; Metazoa; Arthropoda; Insecta; Hymenoptera; Apidae. The record is from RNAcentral.
UCGUAGAUAUUGGAUAUCGAAGAUUCGAUUGAUAGAUGAGAGGUCAUUGGAUCGUUGAUCGCGAUAACCAGCUUUGGCUAAUAUCAUACUUUCAAAUGAAUCCGCGACAGUCCUUGACGAGGAUCUUGCGUGACGCUCGAGGAUAGAUCGAUAUUACGGUUAACAAUACAGAGACACGAUACAUAUGCGACCUGUUAAGCACAGGAGGACUGACAAAUAAAUUGACUCGACCUGGCUAAGGACCGUGCGAACUCGGAUUUCACGUUCGAACCCAAUACACACAGGUGCAGGACGGUUUAUCGACUUCCUGCUGCACCUGUGUUUCUCUCCACUCCGUACACCAAUGUCGUGGUGCGUUAAAUCCCGUCUUUCUACGUGGGCUGGGCUCUCGUGUCUCACAGAGACAGCCUAAUCGGAAGCAAUUAGGAGCAUCGUUCUAAAUUACAUUCUCGAUCACGUCGAACGUCAAAGAAGAGGAAACAACGACCCACUUUUGCCUGUUUCAAGGGUGAUAAUAAUCCACGCGCAUUUCCGCUGCAACGUUUCGCUGCUUUAAUACUAUAGGGAUAUUUGGUUACGCGCAGGUUUUGCAAAGUUCUUUAAGCAAAUUGAGUCAUAAUCUUGACGAUUUUGAUUCAUAAAU